CUUGCAUCAUUGUAAAAAUGAUGCAGGAUCGACUAUGUCGAAUAAAAUUCUAGGUAGAAUUAUGAUAAUGACAUUGUCUGCCUAUGUGUCUUGACCAAAUUACGUGCCAGCAGUCGCGGUAAUACGUAGAAGACUAGUGUUAUUCAUGUUUAAUCGGUUUAAAGGGUACCUAGACGGUAAAUCAAGCCUAAAAUUAAAUGAAGGGACUAAUUUACUAGAGUUACUUAUGAGGGGGUAUUAAAGUACUGCUGGUGUAGAGAUGAAAUUCUGUCAUACCUCUUUUCAAUAGAAAAACAAUGGCACAGGUAUAGGCGAAAGCAUCCCCUUAUGUGAUAACUGACGUUGAGGGACGAAGGCUUUGUGUAGCGAACAGGAUUAGAUACCCCAGUAGUCAAAGCAGAAAAUGAUGAAUGUCAUAGAUUAGAUAAAUAAGUUUAUUCUAUAAAUGAAAGUGUAAGCAUUCCACCUCAAGAGUAAUUUGGCAACAUUGGAACUGAAAUCAUUAGACCGUUUCUGAAACCAGUAGUGAAGUAUGUUGUUUAAUUUGAUGAUCCGCAAAAAACCUUACCACAAUUUGAAUAUUUAUAUUUUUUUAUUGUUUUCUUUUUAAUUUUCUUCUGAUUUGAUUUUUCUAAAGAAAAAAAGAAAAAGAGGCGAUAUGAUAUAUUUACAAGCGUUGCACGGCUGUCUUCAGUUAAUGUCGCGAGACUUUGGUUAGUUCCAUUAAAUUAACGUAAACCCUUACUUUAUUUUUAUAUAGAGUAGUUCCCCGCUAUAUUGGAUAUGAU
RNAcentral lists this ribosomal RNA (788 nucleotides) under Hypogymnia imshaugii. RNAcentral describes it as "mitochondrial SSU rRNA". It matches the Rfam family "Bacterial small subunit ribosomal RNA", at positions 388 to 1146 of the family's 1533-position model. The record is from RNAcentral. Lineage: Eukaryota; Fungi; Ascomycota; Lecanoromycetes; Lecanorales; Parmeliaceae.